CCCCUGGCUCUGCUCUGAGUCAGGACCUCGGAGCGUUGGUGUGACACCACCAGCAUUAACACAACCUGAAGUGUUUUGCAGGCUCUCGCUCUGAUUUGCAGGUCCCAAUGGCUCAGGCCACCUGCAAAACAUCUCUGUGAUGACAAAUUCAGCCCUGGAGAGACACUGACCUGCAGUGAGGCUGAGCAAGGGCAUCCUAAAGCCACAGCCUUCAGUGCAGCCGAUUACCCAGGAGAUCAGCGAAUCUUAGCUCUGUGAAAGACAGGGAGGAGACAGAGCAGAAGCUUUCUCAUCCUCCACAGCAGUACUAAGCGUCCAACACACAAAUCUAAACACUGUCCACCCAGGGGUGCCAACUCAAAUGCCUCAGCUGUGAAGACAGAACAAAAAGGAAAGGACAAUCUCCAAGGUUGAAAGGCAGCUCCAACAGCUGAAUCCUGGGGACUUUGCAUGGAAACAAUGAGCUUUAUGCAGCUUUCCCCCAAAAGCUGUAACAAAGACCUAAAUCCCUCUACUUUGUCUCAAAGGAAAACACCAGAAGUUACUCCAGAACUGCAGAAGCACUAAAACCAUCUGAAAACACUAAGGCAGGCUUCCCUUCUUCCACCAGCCUUUCCUCAUUCCUAGGCCUGUGAUCUCCCACUAAUAUCUCCCUGGGAUCUUUCAUCAAGGCAGGCAACACACAGUGUCUGGUUCGUCACCAGCGUGGUGGGAGCGGAAACUUGUGUUUCCUCACCCCAAUCUCUACCCUUAUGAAAUGGAAAUAGAGGGAUAAAAGGCUUUGAUUCAGGUGAAAUCUCACAGGAGCACACAGCAAAUAAUUUAACUCUAACCUUCAGAACUACAUCUUAAAUCCCUUUCCUAAGAACAUUUAAUAAAACCAGCAAAAUGCACA
RNAcentral lists this long non-coding RNA (895 nucleotides) under Zonotrichia albicollis (white-throated sparrow). Its description in RNAcentral is "lncRNA (ENSZALG00000001702.1)". Lineage: Eukaryota; Metazoa; Chordata; Aves; Passeriformes; Passerellidae. The record is from RNAcentral.